CUUAGGAGUUUUAUUUUUUUUUUUGCUCCUCUUUUCAUUUGAUGCAUUUUUUUUGCAAACUUUCUUUCACUUUUCAUUUCAUUGAACUCAAAUUGAUUUCUUUUUGUGCCCAUUCCCUUUGAUAACAAAAAUGUGGUAGAACAUGGAUGAAUGAUGGAUGGAUGCAUGGUUUCAAGGGUCACCUUGGAAUAAACGGUAGCCAAGGAGUUAUCACACCACAAGGUACUCUUGACUAGGCCUUAAACCAUGGGUCAAAGGAUACUAGCAUGACACAUCCUAGGGUGUUUUAUAAGUAUUCUAACAAACAAAGUCUUAAGAAGAAAAAUCAUCUACUAGGGCCUAUAUACACUUGUCAAGCUUCCCAAGUAGACGGUUUCGCAAAAUUUUCCUAACAUGCAAGCUACAUGCCAUGAUGCAACUAACAUAUAUACAUCCUAAUGCAUAUGAUUCUACCAACUAAUAUGCCAUAUAAUCUAAAUGCAAGUCCUAAAUUCACAUUGUUUAUACCGCAUCAAUCAAAAUAAAGACACAUAGUCAUUAACAUAAAGAGGAAAAAGAAGAUUCGAAAGAUCAUACCAUGCGGUCUUCAAUAUCCUCAUGUCUCGGAUGUGGCGUAGUCGAUCAAUAUGAACAAGGAUAGACAAACAUAAUAUAUACAAGUCUACACUACAAAGGAAAUGAACUUGUUUUUGGAUUUUCAAUUUUUCAAUUUUUUUGAUUUUUUCGAAAUUUUUGGUUUUUUUUGGAUUUUUUUGAAUAAAAGUUAAGUUAGAAUUUCCCAUCCCCACACUAAUAUGGGCAUUGUCCUCAAUGGCCAAUAUGAUAGGAAAUUAUGCGAGUAUGAUGCAUGAUUUCUAUACUAGAUGCAAGCUAUUACAAUCUACACUACAUGAUGCAUGGGUUUUUGUUUAUGACGGAGAGCGUAAUUUAGAUUACCUCCCGUUGCGUAUGCAUGUACUUCCCCAACCCGAGAUAGACAUUAUUUCUAAUGUCUUAAAUUUUAGGGUAGUUCAUGCACACAAGAUGCAAUGCAUAAAACUAUAUAUUGUCAUUUUGGAUUUUUCAAAUGGGAACAAUAAAAAGAACACCUCAAUGGGGUCGAGGUGUUAGUCCUCAUGUUGCAAGGACUCUCCAAACUAUGAUC
Molecule: unclassified non-coding RNA, 1144 nt
Filed under: Silene latifolia
Lineage: Eukaryota; Viridiplantae; Streptophyta; Magnoliopsida; Caryophyllales; Caryophyllaceae
Description: CCLS96.1-J3
Source: RNAcentral